UGGGGGAUAUUGCACAAUGGGCGAAAGCCUGAUGCAGCGACGCCGCGUGGGGGAUGAAGGCCUUCGGGUUGUAAAAUUCUUUUGCUCUGAACAAGGCGCACCAUGGGGUGUGUUGAGUGUAGGGGUUGAUUAGCGCCGGCUAACUACGUGCCAGCAGCCGCGGGAAUACGUAGGGCGCGAGCGUUGUCCGGAAUUAUUGGGCGUAAAGGGCUUGUAGGUGGCUGGUUGCGUCUGUCGUGAAAGCUCAUGGCUUAACUGUGGGUUUGCGGUGGGUACGGGCUGGCUUGAGUGCAGUAGGGGAGGCUGGAAUUCCUGGUGUAGCGGUGGAAUGCGCAGAUAUCAGGAGGAAUACCGGUGGCGAAGGCGGGUCUCUGGGCUGUUACUGACACUGAGGAGCGAAAGCAUGGGGAGCGAACAGG
Molecule: ribosomal RNA, 419 nt
Filed under: bacterium
Lineage: Bacteria
Description: partial 16S ribosomal RNA
Rfam family: Bacterial small subunit ribosomal RNA
Source: RNAcentral